Molecule: long non-coding RNA, 518 nt
Organism: Eriocheir sinensis (Chinese mitten crab)
Lineage: Eukaryota; Metazoa; Arthropoda; Malacostraca; Decapoda; Varunidae
Exons: 3
Source: RefSeq, a predicted model, not a curated record
CUUCCCGGUGGGGCCUGAUGGUCGGCCCAAGGCUUCUUCCCGGUGGGGACUGAUGGUCGGCCCAAGGCUUCUUCCCGGUGGGGCCUGAUGGUCGGCCCAAGGCUUCUUCCAGGUGGGGCCUGAUGGUCGGCCCAAGGCUUCUUCCAGGUGGGGCCUGAUGGUCGGCCCAAGGCUUCUUCCAGGUGGGGCCUGAUGGUCGGCCCAAGGCUUCUUCCAGGUGGGGCCUGAUGGUCGGCCCAAGGCUUCUUCCAGGUGGGGCCUGAUGGUCGGCCCAAGGCUUCUUCCAGGUGGGGCCUGAUGGUCGGCCCAAGGCUUCUUCCAGGUGGGGCCUGAUGGUCGGCCCAAGGCUUCUUCCCGGUGGGGCCUGAUGGUCGGCCCAAGGCUUCUUCCAGGUGGGGCCUGAUGGUCGGCCCAAGGCUUCUUCCAGGUGGGGCCUGAUGGUCGGCCCAAGGCUUCUUCCAGGUGGGGCCUGAUGGUCGGCCCAGCCCGUUCUGGCGCAGGCGAGUGUUUAUAGUGGU